GAUCCGCAAAAGUCGAGCCGCCUCCGGACCGAGGAACUGCCAAGCGCUUCGAGGCCACCCUCCUCUCGGGGUGAGUUCGACUGGGAGAGACUGGGCAACCGUGUCUCCUGAACGCUUACUUUCGAUCAGCGCGGGGCUGGCCGGGCGCAUUCAGUGUGGGUUUGUGGCGAGUCUGUCGGCACUCCACCCGACCCGUCUUGAAACACGGACCAAGGAGUCUAACAUGCGCGCGAGUCAUUGGGUGGUACGAAACCCAAAGGCGCAGUGAAAGCGAGGUCGGUCAAACGCCUAGGUGGGAUCCGUCCCCUGAAGCUCUCUCCGAGGGUCAUUGGGGGGCGGCGCACCACCGGCCCGUCCCGUCUGCGUUGGCAGUGGGGCGGAGCAAGAGCGCGCACGCUGGGACCCGAAAGAUGGUGAACUAUGCCUGAG
Molecule: ribosomal RNA, 429 nt
Filed under: Eupulmonata sp. NZAC 03013209
Lineage: Eukaryota; Metazoa; Mollusca; Gastropoda
Description: eukaryotic LSU rRNA
Rfam family: Eukaryotic large subunit ribosomal RNA
Source: RNAcentral